Non-coding RNA from Rattus norvegicus (Norway rat), 646 nucleotides. The record is from RefSeq and is a predicted model, not a curated record. NCBI's taxonomy places the organism in Eukaryota, Metazoa, Chordata, Mammalia, Rodentia, Muridae.
GCUAGCUGUAAACCACUUCUGAUGAUAACAUAUCUCCCCUUUUCUUAUCAUAGAGAGAAGAAAAAAGGGAAAAAGGAGAAGCCGAUGCUAAAAGGAGACUGGAGAGUUGACGGAGAAGUUAAGAACAUGUACUACUUCUGAAGAAGACCCAUGUUAGAUUCAAAGAACAAGAUGACUCAUAAUCACGGGAGUUGUUUAGCUUAUCUCUGCAAGACCAAGUUGCCUUCAUAUGAACUAUGUAUGUAUUCUUUUUUUAAUUCUCCAUAUUUGCACGGAGCCAUAUUGGAUUUGGGCCUAGCCGCUUUUUGACUGCAUGGUUCAAAGUGACUCUGGGCUGUUUGGCCACAGAGUCUCACCCCGAAGAUGACUGCCAUAAAUCUUAAGAUUGUUGGAUAAAGCCUCUCCCAUGAAUUUACGGCACAGGAGUAUAACAUUCAAGGGAUGCCUCAGCUCGAGCAGAUACCAGUUAUCUCCUCAGUCAACACCCAGUAUCUCCACCACCUGACCUCAUCGCCUGACAUCUUUGCCUCCAGCUAUCACUGCCUAUACCCUUGUCUCCCCCUCCUUCAUAUUUCACAAAGGUCACUCCCCCUACCAGAAAGCCUUAAAAGCUGCAAUGUUCAUCCCAAUAAACGAGACCUUGACA